RNAcentral lists this ribosomal RNA (440 nucleotides) under uncultured bacterium. Its description in RNAcentral is "partial 16S ribosomal RNA". It matches the Rfam family "Bacterial small subunit ribosomal RNA", at positions 338 to 795 of the family's 1533-position model. The record is from RNAcentral.
CCUACGGGAGGCAGCAGUGGGGGAUAUUGCACAAUGGGCGGAACCCUGAUGCAGCGACGCCGCGUGGGUGAAGAAGCGCCUCGGCGCGUAAAGCCCUGUCAGCAGGGAAGAAAAUGACGGUACCUGAAGAAGACGCCACGGCUAACUCCGUGCCAGCAGCCGCGGUAAUACGUAGGGGGCAAGCGUUAUCCGGAUUUACUGGGUGUAAAGGGGGCGCAGGCGGCGGUGCAAGCCAGAAGUGAAAGCCCGGGGCGCAACCCCGGGACUGCUCUUGGAACUGCGUGGCUGGAGUGCAGGAGGGGCAGGCGGAAUGCCUGGUGUAGCGGUGAAAUGCGUAGAUAUCAGGAAGAACACCGAUGGCGAAGGCAGCCUGCUAGACUGCAACUGACGUUGAGGCCCGAAAGCGUGGGGAGCAAACAGGAUUAGAUACCCUAGUAGUC